Molecule: ribosomal RNA, 280 nt
Filed under: uncultured bacterium
Lineage: Bacteria
Description: partial 16S ribosomal RNA
Rfam family: Bacterial small subunit ribosomal RNA
Source: RNAcentral
GUGGAUUAGAUACCCUAGUAGUCCACGCCGUAAACGAUGGAUACUAGCUGUUGGGCGCAAGUUCAGUGGCUAAGCGAAAGUGAUAAGUAUCCCACCUGGGGAGUACGUUCGCAAGAAUGAAACUCAAAGGAAUUGACGGGGGCCCGCACAAGCGGUGGAGCAUGUGGUUUAAUUCGAUGAUACGCGAGGAACCUUACCAAGGCUUAAAUGUAGAUUGACAGGUUUGGAAACAGACUUUUCUUCGGACAAUUUACAAGGUGCUGCACGGCCGUCGCCAACU